UAAGACGAAGGGGGCUAGCGUUGUUCGGAAUUACUGGGCGUAAAGCGAGUGUAGGUGGUUGUCCAAGUUGGAUGUGAAAGCCUUGAGCUCAACUCAAGAAAUGCAUUCAGGACUGGGCGGCUAGAGGACCGGAGAGGAUAGUGGAAUUCCCAGUGUAGUGGUGAAAUACGUAGAGAUUGGGAAGAACACCAGUGGCGAAGGCGGCUAUCUGGACGGUUUCUGACACUAAGACUCGAAAGCGUGGGGAGCAAACAGGAUUAGAUACCCUGGUAGUCCACGCUGUAAACGAUGGGUGCUCGGUGUCGCGGGUAUCGACCCCUGCGGUGCCUUAGCUAACGCGUUAAGCACCCCGCCUGGGGAGUACGGUCGCAAGGCUG
RNAcentral lists this ribosomal RNA (377 nucleotides) under uncultured bacterium. Its description in RNAcentral is "bacterial SSU rRNA". It matches the Rfam family "Bacterial small subunit ribosomal RNA", at positions 521 to 896 of the family's 1533-position model. The record is from RNAcentral.